Molecule: long non-coding RNA, 1034 nt
Organism: Ixodes scapularis (black-legged tick)
Lineage: Eukaryota; Metazoa; Arthropoda; Arachnida; Ixodida; Ixodidae
Exons: 6
Source: RefSeq, a predicted model, not a curated record
AAGCAACCACCUUCAGUGCCUGGUAAACAAAGCAACACCAGCCUGGAAGAAGAGGGUUCGGACACGGAGAGCGAUUCUGAGGACGACAUCUCUGAGGAUGACAGCCAAGAUCCUAUUUACUCUCCAGACAAGGGUGACACUGACAGCUCGGAAGAGGAUUCUGCUGAUGAGUAAGAAGAACCCAACAUUACCGGGAACCCCGCAGAUCCUAAUGCGGAGCCAAAGUUUAUAGUGACAUUAUCCAGACUGCUGCAGCUUCUCACAGUCUGCUUCCAGUGCCUUCCUCCGGCCACAGCCAAGAUCAGUCGACAAAGCCCUCUUCUUCGGGCUGUGAUCACAUAUGCCCGAGGUCAUGAGCUCAUUUGGGAGAUCCAGCCCAGAUUGAGGAGCAGGUCACUGCUGACUCUACUGCUCUGUGGGGCCAUUACCUUCUCGGGUGCAAGUCCAACAUGUGUCCUGCACCUCCUGAGUUUGAUUGGAAUUGCCACAGUCCAGAAGCCCCGGUACUUCAAGAUUCAGAGCACCUUUCUGUUCCCUGCAGCAUUGAAAGUCUGGAAAGCAGAGCAGGCACAGCUCGUUUAGAAGCUACAGGGCAAGACGUGCUUGGCUGGGGACGGACAGGCGGACUCCCCUGACUACUCGGCGAAGUAUGGAACGUACAGCCUGAUGAAAAUGAAUGUUAAGUGCAUAAUCCAUCUUGAGCAAAUCCAGUCCACCGAAGUGAAGUCGAGCUCCCACAUGGAGAAGGAAGGCCUGAGGCGCAGCUUGGACAAUAUGCUCAACCAGGGAUUCAUCAUUGGUAAUUCGGGCAGAUAAACCUAUUGAAAGGGCGAAGCAAAGGGCCAACGAGCAGCAGUGCACCAAAGUUGCUGAGCCUUCUCCAAACUCUCUAACACUGGUCCAUGGCAGCCAACACCUACGACGGCGAAGCAAGCCGCAAGACAACUACAACGACGACGCAAACCGCAAUUUUGAUGCAUAGUCUUGUAAUUGUGCAUUUUAUAUGCCGUUCAUGAUUAAUAAAUAUGUAAGCA